AGUGAACGCUGGCGGUAGGCCUAACACAUGCAAGUCGAACGGCAGCACAGUAAGAGCUUGCUCUUACGGGUGGCGAGUGGCGGACGGGUGAGGAAUACAUCGGAAUCUACUUUUUCGUGGGGGAUAACGUAGGGAAACUUACGCUAAUACCGCAUACGACCUACGGGUGAAAGCAGGGGAUCUUCGGACCUUGCGCGAUUGAAUGAGCCGAUGUCGGAUUAGCUAGUUGGCGGGGUAAAGGCCCACCAAGGCGACGAUCCGUAGCUGGUCUGAGAGGAUGACAGCCCCACCGGGACCGGGACACGGGCCAGACCCCUACGGGGGGGCAGAGGGGGGGAUAAUGGGAAAAGGGGGGAAACCUUGACCAAGCCAUCCCGGGUGGGUGAAGAAGGCUUUCGGGUUGUAAAGCCUUUUGUUGGGAAAGAAAAGCAGCAGGUUAAUACCCCGCUGUUCUGACGGUACCCAAAGAAUAAGCACCGGCUAACUUCGUG
Molecule: ribosomal RNA, 491 nt
Filed under: uncultured bacterium
Lineage: Bacteria
Description: partial 16S ribosomal RNA
Rfam family: Bacterial small subunit ribosomal RNA
Source: RNAcentral